GUAUGUUGAUUUCAACGUUUACGCUGUUUUCGUUUGUAAUUGAGAAUUUCAUUACCAACGGGAUCUAGGUUUGUCGAAUGGGGGUAGUAUGGGAAAUAUGUCACGUUUAAUUUCCGAAGUCUCGAACAUGAUUGUCUUCAAUUCUUGUGUGGAAUCAACAGAAAAAAUGUCACAUUUUUUUGUUUAUGUCGAAGUUUUUUUAUGGGACAGGGAACAUGACAGCCAAUGGCAUUGAAAAUGGAAAACAAACCACACGUUAUAAGUUUCGAGGUGUUUUUGUUGAGGGUAAUCAGACUAGUCUGUUUUCCUUAAGAUCUGAUCAUUGAAACUUUUUCGAUUAAUUUUUCAGAAUACAUUCUGCUUUCGAAAAUUAUUGGUCGGUGAUGAUAGUUGCAUACUGCAGGAUUUAUUCUACUUUCAGAAUACAUUCUGCUUUCGAAAAUUAUUGGUCGGUGAUGAUCGUUGCAUACUGCAGGAUUUAUUUUGCUAUUAAUGGACAUUACUUGUACUUGUUGACUGUAUGCGAGUGCUGUUUUGUUUUAUAUUUGGUAGUUGAUAUCUGAGCGAUUUAUUCUGGCCGUAUUGGAGAUGGUUGGGUUGCUUGAUAUUUUUGUUUUCAAAGAAUAUGCGAAAUAAGAGCUGAGGAGCCUGUUUGUUGAACUGGAGGUGGUUGGCUUACUUGAUCUUUUGUUUUGAACUUUUGAAAUUAAGGCAGAAAGUUACCGUCAGCAUCGACGCAUUUCAUCGUUUGGAUGAUAAAAUAAGUUCUAUUUGAUACGAUUUCUCAAUUUUCUUGCACUUUGAUGUUAAUUGAAUGUGUGAAAAGAAAACAUACUUUUAUCUUUGGUUGUCUCUUAGUCCUCUUGUGGAAAGGAUUUCACAUCUCAAACAGUGCGCCGAAGUUGAAUUUUUCAUAAGGCAAAACUGAAUAAUGGGCUA
Molecule: non-coding RNA, 939 nt
Organism: Vigna umbellata (rice bean)
Lineage: Eukaryota; Viridiplantae; Streptophyta; Magnoliopsida; Fabales; Fabaceae
Source: RefSeq, a predicted model, not a curated record